UACGUAGGGCGCAAGCGUUGUCCGGAAUUAUUGGGCGUAAAGAGCUCGUAGGCGGCCAGUUACGUCCGCUGUGAAAUCCCGGGGCUCAACCCCGGGCGUGCAGUGGAUACGGGCUGGCUGGAGGCAGGCAGGGGAGAACGGAAUUCCUGGUGUAGCGGUGAAAUGCGCAGAUAUCAGGAGGAACACCGGUGGCGAAGGCGGGUCUCUGGGCCGUAACUGACGCUGAGGAGCGAAAGCGUGGGGAGCGAACAGG
This 253-nucleotide ribosomal RNA is filed under the name uncultured bacterium. Its description in RNAcentral is "partial 16S ribosomal RNA". It matches the Rfam family "Bacterial small subunit ribosomal RNA", at positions 524 to 776 of the family's 1533-position model. The record is from RNAcentral.